Long non-coding RNA from Hipposideros armiger (great roundleaf bat), 771 nucleotides. RefSeq lists it as uncharacterized. The transcript has 3 exons. The record is from RefSeq and is a predicted model, not a curated record. NCBI's taxonomy places the organism in Eukaryota, Metazoa, Chordata, Mammalia, Chiroptera, Hipposideridae.
UUGCCAGCCUCUUGGAGGAGAGCCCUACCGCCUCACACUGGGCAUCUGCAGAAGCUGGGGCUGAUGUAGGCACAGGGUCAGAGAGACAUACCUGGAAGCGGACGGCCGAGGACUUGUUGCAGUGCAUGGAGAUGGGGGCAGAGUCAUACAAGGCCUUGAGGACGUCGCGGCUGAAGGAGUUCCAGGGGACAGAGGCAAACUGCUGGGGCACGGAGGCCUGAGGGCAGGAAGUAAUGAGCACAUCUCCCUGCAGAACCAAGCCAACAGACACCUGUCAGCACCUGCCCACGUGGGGGAACAGGUGCGCUAGGCCUGUCCCAUCAGUCAUUACUGAGGAGCCCAGCUGUGAUGGUUACAAUCUGAGUCCCCAGGGAGUGACUACCUGUUGGCUUCUGAGGCUUCUUAGUACGUGGGCCACAGGCAGGCCGGCUAGUGGUUGUGUGGACUAGUGAACUUAGGCAAGCCCCACCUGGCCUGGGCUCCCUUCUGCGUUAUUCGAAGCCCCACCGGUGAUUUCCAUGCCCUCAUCUUCCCCUGAAGCCCUCGGGCUUUGUGUUCAGCUGACCAGGAAGGCAGAUGCACAUCGCCUGGAAUGCCAUCUGGUCCCACCCCCUUCGAGACCUCUUCUGUGAAGUGCUGGUGAGUCUCACCGUGGGACGGCCCAGCCCUUGCCCUGCACAGACAUGGCUGUAGAAGACCUUCGCACUGGCCCUGCCCACCCACCCCCAUCACUCUCUGUCUCUGCCCUCUGGGGACCGCACUCCCAGCUCU